AGGCUCUUGGACUCUCCUUCCUCCAGAGACAGGAAUGCGCUCCCCACAUUGCUGUUCAUCGUGAAUGACCGAGUCUGUAGUUUUCAGUUGCAGCGACAGAUGAUGACUAAGGCAGGCUGUCGCCAAGUAGCAGAGUUCCUUGGAAGAACUUUUAAAACCUCUCAGAGUAUUCCCUCAAGGAGCGUGAGACCCAGGAGGGGGAGAACAACUUUCUGUGGAAUCUCUGCUCUUUCUUCAGAGGCAGCAUGUGCUAAACGGACAAUGCUUGGGACUUAGCAUAAGCUCAACAAAUGCUUACUGAGUGAGUGGGUGAGUGAGUGACUGGAAGGGGAAGCCACGUCCAUCAGUGGGAAAUGGAUACACGGUGUGGAACCGAAGAUGUUGCCCGCAGCUGGGCUCCAGUUCCCUGCUACUGCUCCUGGAGCCUCAACGGAUGAUAGCCCAAAUGCUUGGGUCCCUGAUGUCCACGUGGGAGACCUCAGUGGAUUUCCUGGCUCCUGACUUCAGCCUUGGCCAGCCCUUGACCAGCUCCAGCCAUUGUUGCCUUUUGGAGAGUGAACCAGCACAUCUCCCUGCUGUGGCCUAGGAAAGCAGUAGAAGAUGGCCCAAGUCCUUGGGCCCCUGCACCCACAUGAGAGACCCAGAAGAAGCUCCUGGCUCUUGGCUUUGGUUCAGCACAGCUCCAGCUGUUGUGGUCAUCUGGGGAUUGAACCAACAGAUGGAAGACCUCUCUCUCUCUCUGCCUCUCCUUCUCUCUGUGUGUAACUCUGACUUUCAAAUAAAUAAAUCUUAAAGAAAAAAUUUACCCAUGCUGGAAUGAACUGGAAAGUGGAAAAAUCUCUGUUUCUCUCCAUCUUCCCUCUCAUUCUCUCUCCCUCAUCUUUCUCUUUAUCUUCCCUUCAAAUAAAU
This is a long non-coding RNA of Oryctolagus cuniculus (rabbit), 909 nucleotides long. RefSeq lists it as uncharacterized. NCBI's taxonomy places the organism in Eukaryota, Metazoa, Chordata, Mammalia, Lagomorpha, Leporidae. The record is from RefSeq and is a predicted model, not a curated record.